Molecule: ribosomal RNA, 713 nt
Filed under: uncultured bacterium
Lineage: Bacteria
Description: bacterial SSU rRNA
Rfam family: Bacterial small subunit ribosomal RNA
Source: RNAcentral
UAACACGUAUCCAACCUGCCGAUAACUCGGGGAUAGCCUUUCGAAAGAAAGAUUAAUACCCGAUGGCAUAAUAGAACCGCAUGGUUUGAUUAUUAAAGAAUUUCGGUUAUCGAUGGGGAUGCGUUCCAUUAGGCAGUUGGUGGGGUAACGGCCCACCAAACCUUCGAUGGAUAGGGGUUCUGAGAGGAAGGUCCCCCACAUUGGAACUGAGACACGGUCCAAACUCCUACGGGAGGCAGCAGUGAGGAAUAUUGGUCAAUGGACGAGAGUCUGAACCAGCCAAGUAGCGUGAAGGAUGACUGCCCUAUGGGUUGUAAACUUCUUUUAUAUGGNAAUAAAGUGGUCCACGUGUGGAUUUUUGUAUGUACCAUAUGAAUAAGGAUCGGCUAACUCCGUGCCAGCAGCCGCGGUAAUACGGAGGAUCCGAGCGUUAUCCGGAUUUAUUGGGUUUAAAGGGAGCGUAGGUGGACAGUUAAGUCAGUUGUGAAAGUUUGCGGCUCAACCGUAAAAUUGCAGUUGAUACUGGCUGUCUUGAGUACAGUAGAGGUGGGCGGAAUUCGUGGUGUAGCGGUGAAAUGCUUAGAUAUCACGAAGAUCUCCGAUUGCGAAGGCAGCUCACUGGACUGCAACUGACACUGAUGCUCGAAAGUGUGGGUAUCAAACAGGAUUAGAUACCCUGGUAGUCCACACAGUAAACGAUGAAUACUCGCUGU